AUUUAUAUGACGUAGUUAGCAAAUAUGAAGCCUGGGUAAUACCUAGGAAGGCAAGAAAGGUGAAAAUAUUGAUUCUCGAAAAGCUACCUCUAGACAAUUACAAGAUUUUAAAGUAUAUUAUGCAGUUUUUGUGGAAGGUACAAGAUCGUAGCUGCCUAAAUAAGAUGACAAGCAGCAACUUAGCUGUGGUCUUCGGGCCCAAUUUACUAUGGCCGCGGGAUGGAAAUGUUUCAUUACAAUCUAUCGGACCAAUAAACGCAUUUACCGAUUUUUUAAUCACACACCAGGAAUCCAUAUUUAUUAUUUAAAAUGUAUACGAAUUGUGAGUAACCUAUGAAUCUGACACAUAUCACAAUCAUUUGUUUGUUCUUUUAUUUUUUGAUUUAUUUAUUGUUACGUGACCUGGUAAACUACCGUUGUGUUCCAUUGUUAUUAUCGGCCAGUUAUGUGAAAAAAUAAAUAACUUUUAAUAAAAUUAAUAUGUGACGUUGAAAGACUAAAACAAAUAACCCACUUAUAUUUAACGUCACUGUAUCAAAAUUAAACGUAACUCUUGUAAUAAUGCCAGUUUAAUAGAACAGUUUAUAAAACUAAUAUCUGUAUUUACAUUCGCGUAUGUACCUUGUAGUUUGUGUAAGUUUUAAUUUGGUGGAUGACAUUAAAACACUAUAAGAACUAAUUAAGUGUAUAAAACUAUAUUAUUCCACUCUAAGAGGAACUCCAGAUUAUGUGAUUAUUUUUGUGUUAAGAAAUCGUCAACAUUUGCGUCUUAUUUAUUACUAGUAGACUGUUUGUUCACCUAUUGCUAUUAUUUUUCUGCUAUUCACAUUAAAGGUCUAAGAGGCUUAUUCGAAACCAGUACCUAUAUAAUUUAAACUCCAA
Long non-coding RNA from Pieris rapae (cabbage white), 882 nucleotides. RefSeq lists it as uncharacterized. NCBI's taxonomy places the organism in Eukaryota, Metazoa, Arthropoda, Insecta, Lepidoptera, Pieridae. The record is from RefSeq and is a predicted model, not a curated record. The transcript is spliced from 3 exons.